Molecule: ribosomal RNA, 405 nt
Filed under: uncultured bacterium
Lineage: Bacteria
Description: bacterial SSU rRNA
Rfam family: Bacterial small subunit ribosomal RNA
Source: RNAcentral
GUGGGGAAUCUUGGACAAUGGGGGCAACCCUGAUCCAGCCAUGCCGCGUGAGCGAUGAAGGCCUUAGGGUUGUAAAGCUCUUUCACCGGUGAAGAUAAUGACGGUAGCCGGAGAAGAAGCCCCGGCUAACUCCGUGCCAGCAGCCGCGGUAAUACGGAGGGGGCUAGCGUUGUUCGGAAUUACUGGGCGUAAAGCGCGCGUAGGCGGAUUGUUAAGUCGGGGGUGAAAUCCCGGGGCUCAACCCCGGAACUGCCUCCGAUACUGACAGUCUUGAGGUCGAGAGAGGUGAGUGGAAUUCCGAGUGUAGAGGUGAAAUUCGUAGAUAUUCGGAGGAACACCAGUGGCGAAGGCGGCUCACUGGCUCGAUUCUGACGCUGAGGUGCGAAAGCGUGGGGAGCAAACAGG